This 435-nucleotide ribosomal RNA is filed under the name uncultured bacterium. RNAcentral describes it as "partial 16S ribosomal RNA". It matches the Rfam family "Bacterial small subunit ribosomal RNA", at positions 28 to 507 of the family's 1533-position model. The record is from RNAcentral.
GAUGAACGCUGGCGGUAUGCUUAACACAUGCAAGUCGAACGGACUCUUCGGAGUUAGUGGCGGACGGGUGAGUAACGCGUGAGAAUCUGGCUUUGGGUUCGGGACAACCACUGGAAACGGUGGCUAAUACCGGAUGUGCCGAGAGGUAAAAGAGAAAUUGCCUGAAGAUGAGCUCGCGUCUGAUUAGCUAGUUGGUGAGGUAAAGGCUCAUCAAGGCAGCGAUCAGUAGCUGGUCUGAGAGGAUGACCAGCCACACUGGGACUGAGACACGGCCCAGACUCCUACGGGAGGCGGCAGUGGGGAAUUUUCCGCAAUGGGCGAAAGCCUGACGGAGCAAUACCGCGUGAGGGAAGAAGGCUCUUGGGUUGUAAACCUCUUUUCUUAGGGAAGAACAAAAUGACGGUACCUAAGGAAUCAGCAUCGGCUAACUCCGUG